GCCGACGUAGCUCAGUUGGUUAGAGCAUAGCAUUCAUAAAGCUAAGGUCGGAGGUUCGAUCCCUCCCGUCGGCA
Parcubacteria group bacterium CG1_02_37_13 is the source of this 74-nucleotide non-coding RNA. The record is from Rfam.